CACGUCCUCCCCUGCCACUUACACACUGAUUUAGUUUGAAAUCCAAUUGGGACGUAUUGAUAAGCACCAAUGCAUCCUUGGUUUAGUUCCCACUGUCUUGAGUUACCUUGAUUCUUUUGGUAAUAUCAAACUGAUGAAUACCUUUCAGAUCUAUCCAGUUGUUGUAGAAACCAAGCAUUUCUAGCGAGGCGAAACUAAUUCUGGGAGCAAGCCUUAAUGUUGUGGGGGUCGGAUUAAAUGAAUGUAGUGUGCUAACAUGGUACAUCCCUCGAUUUGUAUUUAGUAUUCUCUUCCUGGUUAGCACAUGGAAAGUUAAUUAGUCGGCACAUAUCUAUGAUAAUAGAAGAAGUAGUAAUUAUCUGACAAUAGGUUUCUAAUUUUCUUUGUGCUCAGUCCACAAGAUAGGUGCGUGUUGUUUCUGAUAAUUAUGAUAUUUUCGAACUCAACCUUUUCUGGUUUGUGUUUAAUUAAAAGUUGCUCUAUACUAGAUAUAAGGUGCCAAUACUUCAUUCUUGCAAUGUACUCUUCCCAAUGGUUGCCCUUAUGACCUUUUCAGGUGAAUGAUAGAGGGUCUUUGUUUUAAACCCAUGAAUAUGUUCCUCGCAAUAGGAAGAAUCUAAUAUUGCUUGGCAUGUCUCCUUGAAGUACAGGCAUCCAAGAUUCCAUACCGUGUAUAACGGCUUUGACAUUAAUUUAGAGUACGCUUUGCCCUUCUCAAGCAAUUUCAAGGUUAAUUGUGAUACAUGUGGCAUUUCAAGUAGUAAUUCCGCCCAAAGGUUAGAUUUAUACUUAAGUGUGGCUUCGAAAUUCCAUCGGUAUCUUUGUAAAAGAAUUCAUGUUUUGUUUUUGCAGAAGUCCAUAUGACCUGAUUUAUCAAUAUGCACUAUCAUAUAUGCGCUUAAAUGUAUUCUCUACAUUUUUUUCAGAAAACCAGAUGGAGGAAAAAAUGUGUGUUGCUUUUAUCCGGGAAAACUGAGACUCAGAUGCACAUGCCAAGACCACCGUUAAUUUAUUGCGUGUUUAACGGCUCAGAAUGAAGAAUUGCUACACCGGAACCAGGGCCAUGCAGUGAUUGAUAUUUCGCUUGUGUCGCAGUUUCAUCUGAGAGGUGCGUAUGAUAUGGAGAAUUCUGAACAUGGAAGAUGAAAGACAGAUGUUGGCUGAGUGUGCUGGUCCUAAAGUGUUCCUUCAAUGCUUCUUCACCUGGGAGGCCUCCAAACAAAUGCUAUGUAUUUGCUCUUAUGUGGACGUGGUGGCUAAUCUGAAACAAAGUCAAUGUUGGAGAGAAAAGAUGCCAUGUGAAUGACACACUGUACUGAAUCAGAAGAAAUGUUGUAGAUUAUGAGAUGUUAUGUCUGAAGAAACAAACAACGACUGUGACAGUGGCUCAAAGAUGGAAACCGCCUGAAGCUGAUGUGCUGAAAGUGAACAUUGAUGGUAGUUUCUUCUCGGAUUCAGCUGAGGGAGGCUCUGGUUUUAUAGUCAGAGACAACUCAUGCAAUGCGGUGGGCUCAGGAGCAGGAAAACUUCGUCAGCUUCAAGACCCUAUGCAUGCAGAGGCGGAGGCGUGCUUGCAUGCAAUUCAGGAGGCUCAAACUUGGGCAAUGAGGAGAAUUACUAGACAGACGCACAGGAACUGGUGAAAGCCACCACAUCAAAAGAUUAGGACCUGGCACCUAACGGUGUUCUCUUCCAGGAGAUCAAAGCUUACCUAGCUUUACAUUUUGUUAUGUUUAAAUAAAGUAAAGUACUGUCCUAGACUUUGUAAUAAGGUUGCUGAUGCCCUUGUGGCAUUCGGUGUGAAGAUUUGGUUGCUAGCGAUCUUGCUGUGCACUCUGGUUAAUGUAAUAAGGUUUUCCAUUAAUUCUUUUAACAAAACAAAAGAAAUAUCUAUCCAACACAACGGGCCUGCCUAGAUCAA
Long non-coding RNA from Triticum aestivum (bread wheat), 1921 nucleotides. RefSeq lists it as uncharacterized. Lineage: Eukaryota; Viridiplantae; Streptophyta; Magnoliopsida; Poales; Poaceae. The record is from RefSeq and is a predicted model, not a curated record. The transcript is spliced from 2 exons.